RNAcentral lists this ribosomal RNA (273 nucleotides) under uncultured bacterium. RNAcentral's name for it is "partial 16S ribosomal RNA". It matches the Rfam family "Bacterial small subunit ribosomal RNA", at positions 1231 to 1500 of the family's 1533-position model. The record is from RNAcentral.
UGGCGUAAACAGAGGGAAGCGAGCCCGCGAGGGGGAGCAAAUCCCAAAAAAUAACGUCCCAGUUCGGAUUGUAGUCUGGAACUCGACUACAUGAAGCCGGAAUCGCUAGUAAUCGCGAAUCAGAAUGUCGCGGUGAAUACGUUCCCGGGCCUUGUACACACCGCCCGUCACACCAUGAGAGUCGGGAACACCCGAAGCCCGUAGCCUAACUUGCAAGAGAGGGCGCGGUCGAAGGUGGGUUCGAUAAUUGGGGUGAAGUCGUAACAAGGUAAC